RNAcentral lists this long non-coding RNA (1923 nucleotides) under Ananas comosus (pineapple). Its description in RNAcentral is "long non-coding RNA (ACOM_LNC027244)". The record is from RNAcentral. Lineage: Eukaryota; Viridiplantae; Streptophyta; Magnoliopsida; Poales; Bromeliaceae.
AUUUAUAUAUAUAUAUAUAUAGAGAGAGAGAGAGAGAGAGAGAAAAGAGAGAUGAGCAGAAAUAUUACCAUCCAUUUGUUUUCAAUGAUAGAGCAUCCAAAUCCAAAGAUAGAGCAUCCAAAUCGACGAUCGACAUCGUUAAAUAUAAUUUAUACUACUUGAAAUAUCUAAAAACCAAAUUUCAAAUAUUUUCGACAUCAUUAACCUAAUGAUCAAAUGAUUUUAAAAUUCAUAAUUUUAAUGGUCAAUAUGAGACAUUUUCUAGUUUAAUGCUGUAAAAAUACUCAAAUCAAUUAAAUUUUGAUUAAAAAAUUCUUUAAACUAUUUAGAACAAGAUCUAUACCCUUGAUUUUCAUUACAAGACUACUAUCAUCACUUUCUAGAGGAUAUUCAUUUUCAGCAGUUUAUUUUUAUGCCUACUUGAUGGACAAGAGAAUAAUAUUGGAAAAGUAUGAAAUUUAAUUUUUAGAUGCUUUUAAGUCGUAUAGUUCAUGUUCAACAGUACCGAUCAUCGCUUUGGAGACUCCAUCGAAAAUAAAUGGGUGGCAACGAAGCCUGUUUGCUACCGAUAUCAUUACAGCUCAACUAUAUAUAUAUAUAUAUAUAUAUAUAUAUAUAUAUAUAUAUAUAUAUAUAUAUUAGGACUACUAUACUCUUAUGAGUAUUAGGCUAUUCGUACUCAUAAGUUGUUUUCGAUGAUUAGACUUCCGAAUCGACAAUCCAUUCCGUUAAAUAUGAUCUAGAGUAUUUUAAACUUCUAAAAAAUAAAUUUCGUAAUUUUUUGAAAUCAUAAUAAAGUCAAUCAAGCGGGUACAAAAUGAACGGUCGAAAUCGAACGACGUCCUAAAAAUGGAUGAUCAUGUAGUGUUCCGAAGGUUUGGAUAGGAUUGGCUACAGUAUUAGUGACUGGUCGACACAUUUGGUGAGUGUCGGACUGAGUCGGAGUCGUUUAUGCACGAAAUGGAUACAGAAAUGGACUCGGCGCACUCAAAUAAGCAAAACUGAAGUUUUGCCAGAUUCGGGUGCCCAGAACUGGGUUUGGGUCGCCCAGAACUUGAGUGCUGGUUUGAGCAGAACUGGAAGCCAAUUCGGAUUCUAGUUUCGGGCGCCCAGAAAAGGGUCCGAAAGUUUACUUCAUGAAUAUCGUUUGCACUGACACGUGGUUGGUGGUAGGUGAGGUCCGCCGGAGCAGGAUUUGGGCGCAGCACACCACGGGCGGAGGAAUCGAAGUAGAGUAUUUGUGCAGUCUGGAAGUUUCGGACGCCCAGAACAUGGUUUCGGGCGCCCGAAAGUGUCUCUUUCUGCAGGGAUAGCAAGUUUGAGUUGUGAGUUCCUGGGGCUUAUUGGACCAUUCUAACUCCCUAUAAAUAGGUGGAGUACGAUCUCUGUGAGCUCUUUUCACCUCUUCUUCACAGUGAAGGCCAAAAUUGCAUUCCAACCCCUCUAAUUACUCCAAAUUUCACAAAUUGAAGCUUGAGGACUCCAGUUUAGCAGUUUUCUAGCAGGACCUUCGGCGUUUUGACUCGUGUGCGAUGUAGAAAGGUCGAAUUGCUGUGAAACUUGGUUUGGUGAUUAGCUGACUUCUGGAAGAUUUCGUGGAGUCCAUUUUGACUACAUUUGAUUGAGGUUAGUUUGGUCAAAUUACUAUUCUUCUGGGCUGCUGCUGUUUUGGACCUGAAUUUGAGUUUUCUUUGGUUAUUAUGGACCAAUUCCUGGAGAGAGCUGAAAUUUCGACCAGAAGAAGUUGCUCCACCUUUCCCUACUGGUUUUAGAGGGUGUUCUUCACCUGAAUUUGGAUUUGGAUGUUGCUAGGUGAGUAUUAGCAUUGGAAUUGAAAGUUUAAGCUUAAGUGCUGAAUUUUGGGGUUAUUGACGCAAUUUUGAUGUUUUUGUGUUUUGAGCUUGGGAGGAAAUUGGAUUUGAA